AGAGUUUGAUCAUGGCUCAGAACGAACGCUGGCGGCAGGCCUAACACAUGCAAGUCGAACGCCGUAGCAAUACGGAGUGGCAGACGGGUGAGUAACGCGUGGGAACAUACCCCUCGGUUCGGAAUAACUCAGGGAAACUUGAGCUAAUACCGGAUACGUCCGAGGUCUUAAGCGGCCUUGGAGAAAGAUUUAUCGCCGGAGGAUUGGCCCGCGUCUGAUUAGCUUGUUGGUGAGGUAAUGGCCCACCAAGGCGACGAUCAGUAGCUGGUCUGAGAGAUGAUCAGCCACAUUGGGACUGAGACACGGCCCAAACUCCUACGGGAGGCAGCAGUGGGGAAUAUUGGACAAUGGGCGAAAGCCUGAUCCAGCCAUGCCGCGUGAGUGAUGAAGGCCUUAGGGUUGUAAAGCUCUUUUACCCGGGAAGAUAAUGACGGUACCGGGAGAAUAAGCCCCGGCUAACUUCGUGCCAGCAGCCGCGGUAAUACGAAGGGGGCUAGCGUUGUUCGGAAUUACUGGGCGUAAAGCGCACGUAGGCGGAUCUUUAAGUCAGGGGUGAAAUCCCGAGGCUCAACCUCGGAACUGCCUUUGAUACUGGGGAUAUCGAGUCCGGGAGAGGUGAGUGGAACUGCGAGUGUAGAGGUGAAAUUCGUAGAUAUUCGCAAGAACACCGUGGCGAAGGCGGCUCACUGGCCCGGUACUGACGCUGAGGUGCGAAAGCGUGGGGAGCAAACAGGAUUAGAUACCCCCGUAGUCC
Molecule: ribosomal RNA, 754 nt
Filed under: uncultured bacterium
Lineage: Bacteria
Description: bacterial SSU rRNA
Rfam family: Bacterial small subunit ribosomal RNA
Source: RNAcentral